Molecule: ribosomal RNA, 492 nt
Filed under: uncultured bacterium
Lineage: Bacteria
Description: partial 16S ribosomal RNA
Rfam family: Bacterial small subunit ribosomal RNA
Source: RNAcentral
AGUGAACGCUGGCGGUAGGCCUAACACAUGCAAGUCGAACGGCAGCACAGUAAGAGCUUGCUCUUACGGGUGGCGAGUGGCGGACGGGUGAGGAAUACAUCGGAAACUACUUUUUCGUGGGGGAUAACGUAGGGAAACUUACGCUAAUACCGCAUACGACCUACGGGUGAAAGCAGGGGAUCUUCGGACCUUGCGCGAUUGAAUGAGCCGAUGUCGGAUUAGCUAGUUGGCGGGGUAAAGGCCCACCAAGGCGACGAUCCGUAGCUGGUCUGAGAGGAUGAUCAGCCACACUGGAACUGAGACACGGUCCAGACUCCUACGGGAGGCAGCAGUGGGGAAUAUUGGACAAUGGGCGCAAGCCUGAUCCAGUCAUACCGCGUGGGUGAAGAAGGCCUUCGGGUUGUAAAGCCCUUUUGUUGGGAAAGAAAAGCAGCAGGUUAAUACCCCGCUGUUCUGACGGUACCCAAAGAAUAAGCACCGGCUAACUUCGUG